ACAUUUGCAUUUCCUGCAGGAUGGAAGGUACUCUGAAGGGUUCCUGAUUGCAGAGAGCAAAAACAAAAUCGAGCAAACAAGCGAUGAGUUUCUUGCUAGGGCAGGGAUUUGAACUCAUUAAUGGCUUCUUAGAAAUUGCGGGUUUCCACACUUGGUCAGGACGAGCUGGUGGCAGGUGGUGGUUCACAGGCUUAAAGAGAAAAGAGGAGCCUGAAAAGUCGAUGCAAAGGAAUGCUUCGUUUUGGUGCAUAAGAAGGUCAGCACUCAUUCACCAGCCUCACUGAGGUGGAUUAACCUCAGCAGGGCGUGAACAUUGGAAGCUCACCCAACUUCCCGGGGGACCUCACUGCCUUUAGCCCACGAGCCUGCCGUAACCCACUCCGAAAGAAGGAUCCUGACUUCAAGGUAAAGAUUAUGACCUGUUCCUUGUUACUGGUUUAAAGGACACUCCAUUCCAUCAUCACCGUUCAAAAUAAAGACCUUAUACUUACCGGACUCUUCCUACGAAGUUCCUUUCAGCUCUCCAACACAAGUACACAAAGAUUUUUCAAUGUAGUCAUUUACUUUAAGCUCUUGUUUUCUGCCCUGAGGGUCAUUCCACUUGGCAUUUAUAGUGUAUGGCGAGAAUCAGGUGCUAUAGCUACUUCAAUCCACUCCCACAGGAGAGGGGACCAUGCUCUCACAAAUGGGAACUUUCACCGAUUAAAAAAAAUCUACCUCCAGGUGCAUUUUCUAAGAAAAUAUUUUCCCCAGUGUGACUUUGAAGGCCAUCAAGAUUCCCCGCUUCCAGCUCUGUCACUGGGACAUCGACCAAAGAAACCCAGCUUUGAAAGUUACAAUGAUUUGCAAUUGAAACUAAUGAGGAAGAACACAGAUUUCUUAUUUCAACAACAAAAACAAAGCAAAGCAAAGCAGAAGAGUAGCCCAGAGUGAACAAAAUCAAAUCAAAACAAAACAACAACAACAACAACAACAACAACACAUUUUCACUUUAUAUUUUUCCUACUAACUUAAGUUUGGGGAGAAUUACCUAAAUUUUUUAAAAUCAGAUUCUUAGUAUCAACUGAAAAGCCAUUUGUAACUAAUAAGUUCCAUGCAAGGGAAAAACUAGUCUUCAACAAUCUGCAUAUCAUUUGUAAAUAUUUUUUACAAUCUCAUCAAGCAUUUAGGUUAAAACAAUUAAGAACUUUC
Molecule: long non-coding RNA, 1191 nt
Organism: Apodemus sylvaticus (European woodmouse)
Lineage: Eukaryota; Metazoa; Chordata; Mammalia; Rodentia; Muridae
Exons: 3
Source: RefSeq, a predicted model, not a curated record